Zalophus californianus (California sea lion) is the source of this 897-nucleotide long non-coding RNA. RefSeq lists it as uncharacterized. The record is from RefSeq and is a predicted model, not a curated record. Lineage: Eukaryota; Metazoa; Chordata; Mammalia; Carnivora; Otariidae. The transcript is spliced from 6 exons.
AAUCAGUUGGGAACCGGUGCGGAGCCCUGUCCGUUAAUCCCGCCCCUGUGUUUGUGUCUGAGUUUCAAGUUUCCCUCUAACUCCUGGGAACGCGGUCUCAAAUGACCCGCUGCAAAUUCAGUACAGAGAAAGAAAGAAGGAUCUAAGAAAGUUUUCCUCUCACCAACAAGGGAUUGUACACACACCAGAGAAGGGCCCAGGACUGAUGGUAACAGAAGUGAUGGAAACUAACCAGAACGAGCAAACUCCAAAGGGACACAGGCAACAGUAUCAAGACUGAUCCUCACCAGCUUGGAAUUUCUCCCACUUGAAAUUUGUUUAUAUCCGGAAAUGAUGGAAGAAAAGAAAACAAGAGGAAUGAUUGAGUGUCAGUGGGCAUAAAAUGGAAUUUGAGAAGUCUCUUAGUUUUGCAGUGUUCCAAACUUGAGUCUCUACAACGGUAGUUCUGAACCCAGGCCACAACAUUAGAGUCAUCUAAGGAACUGUUAAACAUCAGCAACCCUGGGCCCCACCUCAGGACAAUGAAAGAAGAAUGGCCAGAAGAAAUUGGGCCCUCAGUGGAUUGUGUGAUAGAGGGUUGUCUUCUCUACUCAGUAAACGCAAAGAAUUCACUCUCAGAAGGAGUAAAAAAGAGUCUUGAAAGAGAAUAGGGUAGCUUGCAGAAGUCUCCAGAGUUUUGGUGGAAGAACAGAGUUCUCCAUGAUACCAUAUACGGUCUGAGCAGAGGACACCUCCAAAUGCAGCCCAUUUGGAAAGUGGGCUGAAGGGGAAGCAGCAGAAAACCCAGCUAUGAUGGUUAAUUUUAUCUGUAAAAUUGACUGCUAAGGGAUGCCCAGAUAACUGAUAAAACAUUAUUUCUGAGUGUGUCUGUGAGAGUGUUUCUGGAAGACAGUAGCG